RNAcentral lists this transfer RNA (74 nucleotides) under Nannochloropsis oculata. RNAcentral's name for it is "tRNA-Arg". It matches the Rfam family "tRNA". From Rfam's summary of the family: Transfer RNA (tRNA) molecules are approximately 80 nucleotides in length. Lineage: Eukaryota; Eustigmatophyceae; Eustigmatales; Monodopsidaceae. RNAcentral also lists the same sequence under 2 other names. The record is from RNAcentral.
GCAUUCUUAGCUCAGUUGGAUAGAGCAGUAGCCUUCUAAGCUAACGGUGACAGGUUCGAUUCCUGUAGAAUGUA